This 431-nucleotide ribosomal RNA is filed under the name uncultured bacterium. RNAcentral describes it as "partial 16S ribosomal RNA". It matches the Rfam family "Bacterial small subunit ribosomal RNA", at positions 28 to 507 of the family's 1533-position model. The record is from RNAcentral.
GACGAACGCUGGCGGCAGGCUUAACACAUGCAAGUCGAGCGCCCCGCAAGGGGAGCGGCAGACGGGUGAGUAACGCGUGGGAACGGACCCAUAUCUGCGGGAUAGCUCCGGGAAACUGGAAUUAAUACCGAACGGGGCCUAUGGGGGAAAGGGUUUUCGGAUAAGGAUCGGCCCGCGUGGGAUUAGCGGGUUGGGGGGGUAAAGGCCUGCCAAGGCGGCGAGCCAUGGCUGGUGUGAGAGGAUGACCAGCCACAGUGGGACUGCGACACGGCCCCAACUCCUACGCGAGGCUGCAGUGGGGUAUAUUGUACAAUGGGCGCAAGCCUGAUCCAGCCAUGCCGCGUGAGUGAUGAAGGCCUUAGGGUUGUAAAGCUCUUUCACCGGAGAAGAUAAUGACGGUAUCCGGAGAAGAAGCCCCGGCUAACUUCGUG